CAUCUGGUGCCAGCAGCCGCGGUAAUUCCAGCUCCAAUAGCGUAUAUUAAAGUUGUUGCAGUUAAAAAGCUCGUAGUUGAAUUUCGGGGUCAGUAGGUUGGUCGUGCCACCGGUACGUACUGGUCUCACUGAUUCCUCCUUCCUGAUGAGCUGUAAUGCCAUUAAUUUGGUGUUGCAGGGAAUCUGGACUGUUACUUUGAAAAAAUUAGAGUG
Molecule: ribosomal RNA, 213 nt
Filed under: uncultured Glomus
Lineage: Eukaryota; Fungi; Glomeromycota; Glomeromycetes; Glomerales; Glomeraceae
Description: partial small subunit ribosomal RNA
Rfam family: Eukaryotic small subunit ribosomal RNA
Source: RNAcentral